AGGGGGCCGCGAGGCUUACCAAACCUAACCAAACUCCGAAUACCGAGGAGUAGAGCUCGGCAGACAGACCAUGGGUGCUAAGGUCCAUGGUCGAGAGGGAAACAGCCCAGACCGCCAGCUAAGGCCCCCAAGUUGUGGCUAAGUGGGAAAGGAUGUGGGAAGGCCAAGACAACCAGGAGGUUGGCUUAGAAGCAGCCACCCUUUAAAGAAAGCGUAAUAGCUCACUGGUCUAGACAAGCCGUCCUGCGCCGAAAAUGUACCGGGGCUCAAGCCACACGCCGAAGCUGCGGGCUCGACCUAGUCGAGCGGUAGCGGAGCGUUCCGUAGGCCUGCGAAGGGAGACUCGCGAGAGCUCCUGGAGGUAUCGGAAGUGCGAAUGCUGACAUGAGUAACGAUAAACAGUGUGAGAGACACUGUCGCCGAAAGUCCAAGGGUUCCUGCGCCAGGCUAAUCCGCGCAGGG
This 462-nucleotide ribosomal RNA is filed under the name uncultured alveolate. Its description in RNAcentral is "partial Bacterial large subunit ribosomal RNA". It matches the Rfam family "Bacterial large subunit ribosomal RNA", at positions 921 to 1379 of the family's 2925-position model. The record is from RNAcentral.